Molecule: ribosomal RNA, 321 nt
Filed under: uncultured Lachnospiraceae bacterium
Lineage: Bacteria; Bacillati; Bacillota; Clostridia; Lachnospirales; Lachnospiraceae
Description: bacterial SSU rRNA
Rfam family: Bacterial small subunit ribosomal RNA
Source: RNAcentral
AUACCGCAUAAGACCACAGUACCGCAUGGUAUAGUGGUAAAAACCGAGGUGGUGUAAGAUGGACCCGCGUCUGAUUAGGUAGUUGUGGGGUAACGGCCACCAAGCCGACGAUCAGUAGCCGGCCUGAGAGGGUGGACGGCCACAUUGGGACUGAGACACGGCCCAGACUCCUACGGGAGGCAGCAGUGGGGAAUAUUGCACAAUGGGGGAAACCCUGAUGCAGCGACGCCGCGUGGGCGAUGAAGUAUUUCGGUAUGUAAAGCUCUAUCAGCAGGGAAGAAAAUGACGGUACCUGACUAAGAAGCCCCGGCUAACUACGUG